RNAcentral lists this ribosomal RNA (496 nucleotides) under uncultured bacterium. RNAcentral describes it as "partial 16S ribosomal RNA". It matches the Rfam family "Bacterial small subunit ribosomal RNA", at positions 28 to 506 of the family's 1533-position model. The record is from RNAcentral.
GAUGAACGCUGGCGGCGUGCCUAAUACAUGCAAGUCGAGCGAACAGACGAGGAGCUUGCUCCUCUGACGUUAGCGGCGGACGGGUGAGUAACACGUGGAUAACCUACCUAUAAGACUGGGAUAACUUCGGGAAACCGGAGCUAAUACCGGAUAAUAUAUUGAACCGCAUGGUUCAAUAGUGAAAGACGGUUUUGCUGUCACUUAUAGAUGGAUCCGCGCCGCAUUAGCUAGUUGGUAAGGUAACGGCUUACCAAGGCAACGAUGCGUAGCCGACCUGAGAGGGGGACGGGCCCCACGGGAACUGAGAACCGGCCCAGACUCCUAGGGGGGGCAGCAGUGGGGAAUUUUCCGCAAGGGGCGAAAGCCUGACGGAGCAACGCCGGGGGAGUGAGGAAGGUCUUCGGAUCGUAAACCUUUGUUAUUAGGGAAAAAAAAAUGUGUAAGAAACUAUGCACGUCUUAACGGUCCCUAAUCAGAAAGCCACGGCGAAUAUCGU